UGGGGGAUAUUGCACAAUGGGCGAAAGCCUGAUGCAGCGACGCCGCGUGGGGGAUGAAGGCCUUCGGGUUGUAAACUUCUUUUGCUCUGAACAAGGCGCACCAUGGGGUGUGUUGAGUGUAGGGGUUGAUUAGCGCCGGCUAACUACGUGCCAGCAGCCGCGGUAAUACGUAGGGCGCGAGCGUUGUCCGGAAUUAUUGGGCGUAAAGGGCUUGUAGGUGGCUGGUUGCGUCUGUCGUGAAAGCUCAUGGCUUAACUGUGGGUUUGCUGUGGGUACGGGCUGGCUUGAGUGGAGUAGGGGAGGCUGGAAUUCCUGGUGUAGCGGUGGAAUGCGCAGAUAUCAGGAGGAAUACCGGUGGCGAAGGCGGGUCUCUGGGCUGUUACUGACACUGAGGAGCGAAAGCAUGGGGAGCGAACAGG
RNAcentral lists this ribosomal RNA (419 nucleotides) under bacterium. Its description in RNAcentral is "partial 16S ribosomal RNA". It matches the Rfam family "Bacterial small subunit ribosomal RNA", at positions 355 to 776 of the family's 1533-position model. The record is from RNAcentral.